This is a long non-coding RNA of Papilio xuthus (Asian swallowtail), 108 nucleotides long. RefSeq lists it as uncharacterized. The transcript is spliced from 3 exons. The record is from RefSeq and is a predicted model, not a curated record. NCBI's taxonomy places the organism in Eukaryota, Metazoa, Arthropoda, Insecta, Lepidoptera, Papilionidae.
AGAAAUUCAAACACCAACAACAAUAUCGAGAACAUAAUAUAAGGAAACACAAAAAUAAAUCCGGAGACUCCAGUAUUGGUACUGUCAGCCUCACAUCAAACACAACGU